GACGAACGCUGGCGGCGUGCUUAACACAUGCAAGUCGAACGGAAAGGCCCUGCUCUUGUGGGGUGCUCGAGUGGCGAACGGGUGAGUAACACGCGAGUAACCUGCCCUUGACUUUGGGAUAACUUCAGGAAAAUGGGGCUAAUACCCGAUAGGAGCUCCUGCUGCAUGGUGGUGGUUGGAAAGAUUCGGCGGUUCGGGAUGGACUCGCUGCUUCUCCGCUUGUUGGUGGGGUAGUGGCUUACCAAGGCUUUGACGGGUAGCCGGCCUGCGAGCGUGACCGGCCACAAUGGGACUGCGAGACGGCCCAGACUCCUACGGGAGGCAGCAGUGGGGAAUAUUGCGCAAUGGGCGGAAGCCUGAUACAGCAGCGCCGCGUGCGUGAUGCCGGCUUUCGGGUGGUAAACCGCUUUCGCCGUAGACGAAGAGUGAGUGACGGUAAUGGGUAAAGAAGCACCGGCUAACUACGUG
RNAcentral lists this ribosomal RNA (468 nucleotides) under uncultured bacterium. RNAcentral's name for it is "partial 16S ribosomal RNA". It matches the Rfam family "Bacterial small subunit ribosomal RNA", at positions 28 to 507 of the family's 1533-position model. The record is from RNAcentral.